Molecule: long non-coding RNA, 772 nt
Filed under: Homo sapiens (human)
Lineage: Eukaryota; Metazoa; Chordata; Mammalia; Primates; Hominidae
Description: non-protein coding lnc-LCTL-2:3
Source: RNAcentral
AUUCCACAGGCGUUUGCUGUGCACCUCUUGUGCACCAAAUUCGAUGCUAGGCGCUGGGAAUUCAGCAGUGAGCAAAAGAGAAGGAAGGACCUGGUGAAAAAGAUAAAAAGACAGAGAGGCAGUCAGGCGGUGACCACACGGUGGGAGGCCACUGCACAGGCAGAGGCGUUUCAGGGUAUAUGGACGGGAGCCAGGUAGUUAUGGAAGGCUUCCUGGAGGAAGUGGCACCUGCUCAGAGGCCUGAAAGAGGAAUGGGCCUUGUUGUGGGGAGAGGCAGGUUGGGUACUCCAGGUAGAAGGAGCGGCAGGUGCAAAGGCUUGGCGGUGAGAAGACAGGGCACACGGCAAGGACUGAAAGCACAGCAGAGAAGCAUCGCAUGAACUUUCAAUCCUCAGGGUGACUCUGACGAUUAAAGACGCAUAUUUUUGAUCCCAUGAGGACCCUAAACGCAAGCCAGCGACUUUAUCUGGUGCUCAACUGAAGAUAUAGCCACAUUUUCCCACAUUGGAGGAAGACUGUUUUGGACUUACUGAGAGGUACUAAGUCCGGGUACUGUACCUAUGAGUGACUGAAGACAUUUUCAAGGGGUCGUCUGGACUUAGCACAUUUAUCUCCUUCACUCCGACCUUAAGACAACCCCCACUGUGAAGGACAGGAUGCCAGGACAGGGGCACCUGCCUGAGUCAUUUGGAGGAUGAGCCGUGAGACUGGGAAGAUAGGGAGAACUGAUGGUAAAGUGAAGGCUGAAACCAGCCCCUAGUGGCAAAGCAUG